Molecule: long non-coding RNA, 4315 nt
Organism: Callithrix jacchus (white-tufted-ear marmoset)
Lineage: Eukaryota; Metazoa; Chordata; Mammalia; Primates; Cebidae
Source: RefSeq, a predicted model, not a curated record
CAAAGCAAUCCCCAUGCCCCCGAAUCUGGCCUUUCCCCUUCCCUGCCUGCUGCUCCAGGUUUCCUGGCUUUCUCACUCUCCUCUCUUUCUCCCAGGGCUAGCCCAGAGGGUGUUUGUUUAAAGUACCUUUCACUAGCAUUCCUUCCCAGUCAUUCUCUCAGCUUUUCACUUUGCAUUACGCCCAGAGCCCUAGAUGCAGUCUCCUUCCCCAGCCAAGCUGCUUUCGAAAACUAACCUCUAUUUUACAUGGGGAACUUUAACCCAUUUGCCUCCAAAAAAAACCCUGUAACAUUGCAGAGAACACUAAAGCCUCCUUGGACCCCUAAAAAUCCAUGUCUACCCUCUUCAAUUCCCCAAAAGAAUGGGAGUCCCUCCUUAUCUUCUGAGAUACAUUCCAAGACCCCCAGUGGCUGCCUGAAAUCACGGUCAACAGCAAACCCUGCAUACCGUACAAAAGCCAUAAACCUGAAGUUACUAAGGUCUGGCUCCAGGAAAUCCUGAAUCCAAGAAGAAUGCUCAGCAGGACAGAAUUGAAGACAACAGUUCAUCAUCUUUCCUUCCCAGGAUCGAGAAUAUCCCAAGGAAAUGCCAAGUAAAAAAAUAAAAUCAGCGAUUGAUUUUGCGUUUGGAGAACUGACCAAGUUUCUUGAUCAAAUGCCGAUUGCAAGUCUGAGUCAAGGUUGAGCAUAUAUAAAGGAAUCCUCCCGGGUACCUCCCCUUGGGGUCUUCACAACAUGUGAUUUUGAAAAACCAGACUCGGACGAUCAGAGACCUCACUGCAGAGGAAAUGAAGGAUGCCUCACUUCCAAUACCUGGCUCCUGCAAACACUCCCUCGGGUCCCAGUGCUGGCGCCAGGCUGGGACCGAGAGAGCUUCCUGUCCCGCCGACCACAGAGGUUAAAUGGAAUCUCCACUCCCGGAUUGAGGAAAGAAAGGCGUCUUCCCCGAUGAUUUUCGCUAGGCUGCUGACCCACCCCGCAGAGCUGCUGGGGCGGCAGACGCCCAGGCCUUCCUGAAUCCCGGCCCCUCUGGUCUAUCCUAGGCCCCCCAGGACUCAGGCCUGCGAAAAUCCCGACCUCUGCCAGGCCCCUCCUCGCAGGCUUUGCGGUUUGCUAACUCGCGGUGCAGCCUUGGGAUGGUGCCUGUUUCUCCAAGUGUAAUGAAGUAGGGCUGGGCGGUGAUUCUCAGAAUCACCCUUGAAGCUUUUCCAAAACCGCUUCCCAAGGUGUCCCCACCGGAUUGGAGAGGAGGUCGGGGGUGAAAAGCGGCAGGAGGCUGACAGCUCGGGCUGGAACCCGGGACUUGGGCUCUCCCGCUUCUGCAGCGACUCCACCCUUCGGCCUGGCCCCGGAGCUCGCCUUCGGCCAGGGUAGGGUAUUGUUGCGCGUCUCCCGCCGGUUCCCUGGUUCCGGGAGGCCGGGCUGGGCUGCCCCACCGGAAUGACUCGUUUCAGCCGGAGCAGCCCAGGCCUAGGGCCCUCCCCGCCCCCACCCCGCCUUCCUCCUACCCCACCCCUGCGAAGCCGGGAAUCGCAGGCCUGCAGCUGGGGCAGCCGGUGGUCAUCCCGCCCACUCCUGCCCCGCCCACAGGACGCGCCCCCUAGGCCACACCGGAGCUCGCUCUGAGGUCUCUGGGCUGUGACUCCGCAGAGCCUCAGUGGGGGAGGGGAGAGAGGAGAGAGAAUAGGAAAGUGGGGUACGAUCUGAGUCGGGGACCUGUUGCCAAGAAACUGGACCCUCGGGCUCUGGCCGUCAGAAGCCACGGUACAGCUGCCUCCCCUACCCCAGGUCGCCCAGCAGAGCUUUCUAGAGCUGGGGAGCUCAGAAGACCCUAGGCGGAGGCAAGAACCUUGGGCCAUGGCUCUGUGGGAAAAGCCCUCGGGUGCCCGGGGUGGAGAUGGUUGGGUAACUGCCCUGCCACUCCCAUGCUGCACGGCCUCGGCCCAGUGCCACCACCUCUCAGGGCCGCCGUUUCAGGCUCCAGAUGGGGCGGCACUGGGUGGCGGCGGGCCCCAACCCCUGCCCCAAAUCUCUAAGGAGGGGUCCAGCCUGGCGAGCCCAGAUCCAGGCUGCGGCGUAUGCGCGAGGCUGGGAGCUGCAAGAACCCGCCCAGAGCCCAGGGUGAGCGUCUGGGCCCUCGAGACUAGUGCGUCUGAGCCCCUCGGGGGCUCCAGCUGUGUCCCGGUGGGGGCCAGAGCAGGAGGGAGGCAGCCCCAGCCUUUUCUGGGCUGCAGCCCUGAGGACUGGACAGGCGCCACGUCCUCUCCGGGCCUCCAAGACGCAGAUUAGAAGCCCAUUGCUGCUGGGAAGAUGGGCACCCCACGUCUCCCCAAAUGGCCUCCCCAUGUGAAACCUGGAUGAGACACUCAGGCACCUUUUAGGCCCCCCAGCGAAAACUGAAAGCCUGAGCCCACUCAGAAGCUCUGCAGGAUUGAGUCAUCAGAGGAAUGCUGAUCUGGAAGUACCAAGACCAGAAGACACCCGCAAAAACCGCGGGCACCGGAGAGCAAGUGCAGCUUAAUCUCCAGGCGUGGUUUAGAUGGAAAGCAGCCUGGAGACCACCAGUUAAAAGAACCGCGAGCAGAGCGCACUGGACUGGCAUCAGCAGAGUGAGUGUGAGACCGUCCUGCCCCUUAAUCCUGUGUGACCUUGGUCCAUUUAUUUAGUUUCCGAGCCUCACAGUGUUCUCAUUCCUGAAAAUACUCUGCCCCACCUCCGGGCUGCAGUGAGAACAAAAGGAGACUAUAAACAUGACUUUUUGUCACUUUUGGAGUCCCACGCUGGGGAAAGAUUUUCCUAGCACCUGGAGAUUUUCUUUACCACCAGCUGCCAAGAUUGAUGGGAAGGAGACAGCCCCAUCCCAGAAAGAAGACAUCUUAAAUCGGAAUUUUAUUUUUCCUCCUUAAAAAGACACUCUAAUACUGGAGAAGUGUAAAAAUUAAGGAGUCGUUAGAAGCCAUUUGUUGUUUUAACUUUUUUUGAGACAGGACCUUACUCUGUCACCCAGGCUAGAGUGAGGUGGCACGAUCAUUGCUCAUUGUAGCCUCCAACUCCUGGACUCAAACCUCCCUUCUCGGCCUCCCAAAUACCUGGGACUAGAGGUCCACCAGGCACACUAGCACACAUCUGUAGUCACGGUACUUUAGAGGCCAAGAAGGGAGUUCUCACUAUUUUGCCCAGGCUGGUAUCCAACUCCUGGGAUUAAGCCAUCCUCCUGCCUCAGCCUCCCAAAGUGUUGGGAUUAUAGGUGUCAACCACUGCUUCCAGUCUGUUGUUUUAACUAUCUAUCAAAGAAAUAGAUGGAGGUGGAUGGGGAUGCCAAGUGCUUUAGAUUAGACUCGAAAGAGUUAACAGCAUAGAUUACAGAAUCACACAUACCCAAAUUGGAAUCUUGCCUCGACCCUUUACUACCAUUGUUACAUUAUAUUAGUGACUUAACCUCUCUUUGCUUCAGUUUCUUCAUCUAUAAAAUGAAGAAAAUGGCAUCAACCUAUGGGGUUAUUGAGAAGACGAAAUGCAAUAGUGAGUGUAAAAGUGCCUGUGGUAAUACACAAUAAAUGCUAGCUAGUUUUGGUUUCCAUCCUUCUUUCCUACCAAUUUUUAUGGUUAAAUAUUUGUCAACAUGCAGAAAAGUUGAAAGAAUCAUACAGUGAACACCCAUGCAUGUUCCACCUAGCUUCUGCAUUUACAUGUUUACUCUAUUUGCCUUAUCAUGUAUCUGUUUAUCUAUCUUUCUUUCCCUCUAUCCAUAUAUCAAUCCAUCUGUUCUGGUUACAACUGUUAUGUAACAAAUUCCUCAAAACUUAGUAACUUGAGAAAAUAGCCAUUUUUCUCAUGUUCAUGGAUUCCAUGAGUUAGGACUUCAGACAGGUUGGCUUGUUGCUGCUCUAGGAUGUCUGGGGUCUCAGCUGGGAAGACUUGAUGCCUGUGGGCAGGAAUCAUCCUGAGGCACCUUUCACGCACAUGUCUGGGAGUUACCAGCAUCGUGCCUGCAUAUGAUCUUGUCAUGAAACUCAGGCUUCCUCCCAGUAUGGUAGCCUCAAGGUAGCUGAACUUCUGGCAAACGAGGCCAGAAGGUUUAUAACUCAACCUUGCAAGUUACAUAGCAUUGCUACCUAUUGGUCAAAGCAGCCAUAGAUUCAAACGGCAGAAUUAUACUCUACUUCUUGCUGAUGAUGUGGCAGGGUCAUUUUGUAGAUCUGGGGGACAGGAACUCUUGUGGCCAUCUUUGGAGGUGCCACAUUUGCCCCAUUGUUCACAACAAUGCUUCUGUAAUAUGCGCAAAAUCUCAUUCCAUUAAAUCACCCAUUGCCAGA